UACGAAGGGGGCUAGCGUUGCUCGGAAUCACUGGGCGUAAAGCGCACGUAGGCGGAUUUCUAAGUCAGGGGUGAAAUCCUGGAGCUCAACUCCAGAACUGCCUUUGAUACUGGGAAUCUCGAGUCCGGGAGAGGUGAGUGGAACUGCGAGUGUAGAGGUGAAAUUCGUAGAUAUUCGCAAGAACACCGGUGGCGAAGGCGGGUCUCUGGGCCGAUACUGACGCUGAGGAGCGAAAGCGUGGGGAGCGAACAGG
Molecule: ribosomal RNA, 253 nt
Filed under: uncultured bacterium
Lineage: Bacteria
Description: partial 16S ribosomal RNA
Rfam family: Bacterial small subunit ribosomal RNA
Source: RNAcentral